UACGAAGGGGGCUAGCGUUGUUCGGAAUUACUGGGCGUAAAGCGCACGUAGGCGGACUACUAAGUCAGGGGUGAAAUCCCGGGGCUCAACCCCGGAACUGCCUUUGAUACUGAUAGUCUCGAGUCCGGAAGAGGUGAGUGGAAUUCCGAGUGUAGAGGUGAAAUUCGUAGAUAUUCGCAAGAACACCAGUGGCGAAGGCGGCUUACUGGUCCGGUUCUGACGCUGAGGCGCGAAAGCGUGGGGAGCAAACAGG
RNAcentral lists this ribosomal RNA (253 nucleotides) under uncultured bacterium. RNAcentral describes it as "partial 16S ribosomal RNA". It matches the Rfam family "Bacterial small subunit ribosomal RNA", at positions 524 to 776 of the family's 1533-position model. The record is from RNAcentral.